RNAcentral lists this transfer RNA (71 nucleotides) under Marmota monax (woodchuck). It matches the Rfam family "tRNA". From Rfam's summary of the family: Transfer RNA (tRNA) molecules are approximately 80 nucleotides in length. The record is from Rfam by way of RNAcentral. Lineage: Eukaryota; Metazoa; Chordata; Mammalia; Rodentia; Sciuridae.
UGGGCUAGGCUCAGUGGUAGAGUGCUUGCCUGGCGUGCAUGAGGCUCUGGGUUCAAUCCCUAGUACCACAC